GGGUGUACGUUGAGCGCGCUGGACCCACCCCGAUCCAUCUCGCACCGGGACGUGAAACAGCGCAGCGCCGCGGGUACUGGGCUUCGGCCUGGGAGACAAGGUCCGCGCACCCC
This 113-nucleotide ribosomal RNA is filed under the name Chloroflexota bacterium. The record is from RNAcentral. Lineage: Bacteria; Bacillati; Chloroflexota.